This 726-nucleotide ribosomal RNA is filed under the name uncultured bacterium. Its description in RNAcentral is "bacterial SSU rRNA". It matches the Rfam family "Bacterial small subunit ribosomal RNA", at positions 787 to 1510 of the family's 1533-position model. The record is from RNAcentral.
CUGGUAGUCCUAGCUGUAAACGCUGGGUACUAGGUGUAGGGGGUUUAGACGCCCUCUGUGCCGUAGUUAACGCAUUAAGUACCCCGCCUGGGGAGUACGAUCGCAAGGUUGAAACUCAAAGGAAUUGACGGGGGCCCGCACAAGCGGUGGAGCAUGUGGUUUAAUUCGACGCAACGCGAAGAACCUUACCAGGGCUUGACAUCUACCUGACGUAUUUUAGAGAUAAUUUACUUCUUUCGGGACAGGUAGACAGGUGGUGCAUGGUUGUCGUCAGCUCGUGUCGUGAGAUGUUGGGUUAAGUCCCGCAACGAGCGCAACCCUUAUUCUUAGUUGCCAGCAGGUUAAGCUGGGCACUCUAGGGAGACUGCCGGUGACAAACCGGAGGAAGGUGGGGAUGACGUCAAAUCAUCAUGCCCUUUAUGUCCUGGGCUACACACGUGCUACAAUGGCCGGUACAACGAGUUGCGAGACAGCGAUGUUUAGCCAAUCUCUUAAAGCCGGUCUCAGUUCGGAUUGCAGGCUGCAACUCGCCUGCAUGAAGUCGGAAUCGCUAGUAAUCGCGAAUCAGCACGUCGCGGUGAAUACGUUCCCGGGCCUUGUACACACCGCCCGUCACACCACGAAAGCUGGCAACACCCGAAGCCGGUGACUUAACCGCAAGGAGAGAGCCGUCGAAGGUGGGGUUGGUGAUUGGGGUGAAGUCGUAACAAGGUAACCAAGGGCGAA